This 1229-nucleotide ribosomal RNA is filed under the name Leifsonia sp. 4-69. Its description in RNAcentral is "bacterial SSU rRNA". It matches the Rfam family "Bacterial small subunit ribosomal RNA", at positions 140 to 1381 of the family's 1533-position model. The record is from RNAcentral. Lineage: Bacteria; Bacillati; Actinomycetota; Actinomycetes; Micrococcales; Microbacteriaceae.
GGGAUAAGCGUUGGAAACGACGUCUAAUACCGGAUACGACCUUCGGAGGCAUCUCCUGGGGGUGGAAAGAAUUUUGGUCAAGGAUGAGCUCGCGGCCUAUCAGCUAGUUGGUGAGGUAAUGGCUCACCAAGGCGACGACGGGUAGCCGGCCUGAGAGGGUGACCGGCCACACUGGGACUGAGACACGGCCCAGACUCCUACGGGAGGCAGCAGUGGGGAAUAUUGCACAAUGGGCGAAAGCCUGAUGCAGCAACGCCGCGUGAGGGACGACGGCCUUCGGGUUGUAAACCUCUUUUAGUAGGGAAGAAGCGAAAGUGACGGUACCUGCAGAAAAAGCACCGGCUAACUACGUGCCAGCAGCCGCGGUAAUACGUAGGGUGCAAGCGUUGUCCGGAAUUAUUGGGCGUAAAGAGCUCGUAGGCGGUUUGUCGCGUCUGCUGUGAAAACUGGAGGCUCAACCUCCAGCCUGCAGUGGGUACGGGCAGACUAGAGUGCGGUAGGGGAGAUUGGAAUUCCUGGUGUAGCGGUGGAAUGCGCAGAUAUCAGGAGGAACACCGAUGGCGAAGGCAGAUCUCUGGGCCGUAACUGACGCUGAGGAGCGAAAGCAUGGGGAGCGAACAGGAUUAGAUACCCUGGUAGUCCAUGCCGUAAACGUUGGGAACUAGAUGUGGGGACCAUUCCACGGUCUCCGUGUCGCAGCUAACGCAUUAAGUUCCCCGCCUGGGGAGUACGGCCGCAAGGCUAAAACUCAAAGGAAUUGACGGGGGCCCGCACAAGCGGCGGAGCAUGCGGAUUAAUUCGAUGCAACGCGAAGAACCUUACCAAGGCUUGACAUAUACGAGAACGGGCCAGAAAUGGUCAACUCUUUGGACACUCGUAAACAGGUGGUGCAUGGUUGUCGUCAGCUCGUGUCGUGAGAUGUUGGGUUAAGUCCCGCAACGAGCGCAACCCUCGUCCUAUGUUGCCAGCACGUAAUGGUGGGAACUCAUGGGAUACUGCCGGGGUCAACUCGGAGGAAGGUGGGGAUGACGUCAAAUCAUCAUGCCCCUUAUGUCUUGGGCUUCACGCAUGCUACAAUGGCCGGUACAAAGGGCUGCAAUACCGCAAGGUGGAGCGAAUCCCAAAAAGCCGGUCUCAGUUCGGAUUGAGGUCUGCAACUCGACCUCAUGAAGUCGGAGUCGCUAGUAAUCGCAGAUCAGCAACGCUGCGGUGAAUACGUUCCCGGGCCU